AGUGAACGCUGGCGGUAGGCCUAACACAUGCAAGUCGAACGGCAGCACAGUAAGAGCUUGCUCUUACGGGUGGCGAGUGGCGGACGGGUGAGGAAUAUAUCGGAAUCUACUUUUUCGUGGGGGAUAACGUAGGGAAACUUACGCUAAUACCGCAUACGACCUACGGGUGAAAGCAGGGGAUCUUCGGACCUUGCGCGGAUGAAUGCGCGGAUGUUGGGUUGGCUAGUUGGCGGGGUAAAGGCCAACCAAGGGGGCGAUCGGUUGCUGGUGUGGGUGGAUGGUAGGCCACACUGGAACGUGGACACGCUCCAGACUCCUACGAGAGGCAGCAGUGGGGAAUAUUGGGCAAUGGGCGCAAGCCUUAUCCAGCCAUACCGCGUGGGUUAAGAAGGCCUUCGGGUUGUAAAGCCCUUUUGUGGGGAAAGAAAAGCAGCAGGUUAAUACCCCGCUGUUCUGACGGUACCCAAAGAAUAAGCACCGGCUAACUUCGUG
RNAcentral lists this ribosomal RNA (492 nucleotides) under uncultured bacterium. RNAcentral describes it as "partial 16S ribosomal RNA". It matches the Rfam family "Bacterial small subunit ribosomal RNA", at positions 29 to 507 of the family's 1533-position model. The record is from RNAcentral.